UUCGUAGAUUUCUGAUGAGAAGAGUGAGACUGAGGGUGAGAGUGAAAAACUGAUAUUGCUGUUCCUUUGGGGGCAGUGAUUGAAGUGUGAGAGGGAGUCGUGCGGAGACCAAGGGGGAGGUAGAGAGUGAAGUGGAGGUGAGAGUGAACUGGAGGUGAGAGAGAGUGAACUGGAGGUGAGANNAUGUGGAGUGGAGGUGANNGANAGUGAACUGGAGGUGAGAGAGAGUGAAUUGGAGGUGAGAAAAGGUGAACUGGAGGUAAAGGAGAGUGAACUGGAGGUGAGAGAAAGUGAACUGGAGGUGAGAAGAGGUGAACUGGAGGUGAGAGAAGGUGAACUGGAGGUGAGAGNNNGUGAACUGGAGGUNANNGANNGUGAACUGGANGUGAGAGAGAGUGANCUGGAGGUGAGAAAAANUNNNNNNNNNNNGUUUGUGUUUGUUUGUGCGUGUGUGUGUGUGCUGUAUGCCUGUGUUUGUGUCCGUAUGCCUGUGUUUGUGUUUGUGCGUAGUGCGGUUUUGUGUUUUGUAUGGCCGAGGGUCGUGUAUUGCCAAAACCUAUUAAAAAGGCCUUCAUUUUGCCCUCUAUAUGAUUUCUCUGGUCGUUAAAAUACCCCCCAGUUGAUACGGUUUGAAAUUCUUAGAUUGUGAUUUUUGGGAGGGGUUUCAAUGUUGCACAGUUUCAAUGCUGCGCGAGAAAUGAAUAUACAAGAAGAAAUUGUGACAGAGUGAGAACUGGUGAAGUGGGAAAUGAAAGGAAAAAUUUUGAAUGGACCCACAGGGACAUAAUAAUUCAAUACACGGCUCUUUUGGUUCAAUGCUUUUGUUUUAAAUGUCUUUUUUCGGGCCAUUUUGAUUGACGCUUAGUGGUGGUCAGUAGCGCGCGCACUCCGAAAAAUAUGCGGAUUUUACGCAACUUUUGUUAGACUUUUUCAAAAAGAAUAUUUUUGCAGCAGGCAAACUGCGCGGGUGCAGCAUUUUGCGACCGGAGGUACUAUAUGAGAGAGAAAUCUCUUAGGAAUAGUGCGUAUGAAAUUCAUACNNCCAUUCCGAUGAAGUGAAUUUAUAUCAACUUUUGGAGGUAUAUCUUUUAGUUGUAUAAAGUCUACUUCUUGGCCCUGCGAUUUAUCGCUCAAGUCUCGGGCUGACAACGUCUCCCCGAGCAAGGUGAAACAGUGGAUUACUAGGCAAUGCCAAGUCCACCAAAACCCAGAUCAUUAGAUCUUUUUGCUACGAGUCAGUGGACAAUCCAGUCUUAAUAACUUCUUAUUAGUUAUCUGGUUG
RNAcentral lists this unclassified non-coding RNA (1282 nucleotides) under Metschnikowia bowlesiae. Its description in RNAcentral is "partial external transcribed spacer". Lineage: Eukaryota; Fungi; Ascomycota; Pichiomycetes; Serinales; Metschnikowiaceae. The record is from RNAcentral.